This 321-nucleotide long non-coding RNA is filed under the name Homo sapiens (human). RNAcentral's name for it is "non-protein coding lnc-NCL-3:1". The record is from RNAcentral. Lineage: Eukaryota; Metazoa; Chordata; Mammalia; Primates; Hominidae.
AUGGCGGCUCCUGGCCCUGUGACUCCAGAGGUCCCCUUUGAACCAUGGAAGCCCCCAGUCAUUUAGGGGUUUAGCUCCACUGUUUACAGCAAUCCAGAGAGUUUCAAGGAAAAAUUCCUUCACAAGACCCGCGAGAACCACAUGGUACCCAGGUUGCCUAGGCAUGGCGACCGCCCUCACCUACGGCCUCUACUGCUUCCACCAGGGCCACAGUCAGCGCUCUCAGCUCAUGACACGCACCCGGAUCGCUGUCCAGGGCUUCACAGUCGCAGCCAUCUUGCUGGGUCUAGUCACAACUGCUAUGAAGUCUCAAUCCUGAGC